Molecule: unclassified non-coding RNA, 421 nt
Filed under: Homo sapiens (human)
Lineage: Eukaryota; Metazoa; Chordata; Mammalia; Primates; Hominidae
Description: major histocompatibility complex, class II, DP beta 1 (ENSG00000230763.11, ENSG00000236693.11)
Source: RNAcentral
CAGAAGGGACUGCCUUCCCCUCAGUGCUCGCCCCUCCCUAGUGAUCACUCAGUGCCCCUGAGCUCAUUCUUUUCAGUAAAUUCUCUCUCUGCGUGGUGAGAAAACAGGCCUGGAGAGGCUCUGCGACCCGCUUAGGACCACAGAACUCGAGAAUUACCUUUUCCAGGGACGGCAGGAAUGCUACGCGUUUAAUGGGACACAGCGCUUCCUGGAGAGAUACAUCUACAACCGGGAGGAGUUCGUGCGCUUCGACAGCGACGUGGGGGAGUUCCGGGCGGUGACGGAGCUGGGGCGGCCUGAUGAGGAGUACUGGAACAGCCAGAAGGACAUCCUGGAGGAGAAGCGGGCAGUGCCGGACAGGAUGUGCAGACACAACUACGAGCUGGGCGGGCCCAUGACCCUGCAGCGCCGAGUCCAGCCU